Molecule: long non-coding RNA, 342 nt
Organism: Clarias gariepinus (North African catfish)
Lineage: Eukaryota; Metazoa; Chordata; Actinopteri; Siluriformes; Clariidae
Exons: 3
Source: RefSeq, a predicted model, not a curated record
UGCAAAUCUGACCCAACUGCUUGUCUGACCUUCUCAGCCAAUACGGUUUCUUAGAAGAUUAAGUAUCAGUAUAACAUAGGGUCAAAUAAGCAAAGACGUUUGCAGAACAGCAGUCCUUGACACUCUCCUCUUGCUGCAUCUCUGAGGAACAUAUUACAGGAAGAUAUUGUUACAUAUAAGGAACUUUGUCUCUCCCUUAAGUCUUUAGGUGUAAAGUCUGUAAACAUUAUGUCUGACACAGAGGAUGUUGAGGUUGAGGGUGAGUUGAUUUUUUUCUUCCUUUUUUCUUGUUCUUUUUUUUCUUCUCAGUAAAAGGAGUAGCAUUGAUAUUUAUAUUAACAA